Molecule: transfer RNA, 73 nt
Filed under: Pteropus alecto (black flying fox)
Lineage: Eukaryota; Metazoa; Chordata; Mammalia; Chiroptera; Pteropodidae
Rfam family: tRNA
About the family: Transfer RNA (tRNA) molecules are approximately 80 nucleotides in length.
Source: Rfam by way of RNAcentral
GGUUGCAUGGUGUAGCGGUUAGCACGUCUGCUUUAUACGCAGAAGGUCCUGGGUUCACACCCCGGUGGAGUCA